Molecule: ribosomal RNA, 429 nt
Filed under: Pseudomonadota bacterium
Lineage: Bacteria; Pseudomonadati; Pseudomonadota
Description: Proteobacteria bacterium partial 16S ribosomal RNA
Rfam family: Bacterial small subunit ribosomal RNA
Source: RNAcentral
UGGGGAAUAUUUGACAAUGGGCGAAAGCCUGAUCCAGCCAUGCCGCGUGUGUGAAGAAGGUCUUCGGAUUGUAAAGCACUUUAAGUUGGGAGGAAGGGCAGUAAGCGAAUACCUUGCUGUUUUGACGUUACCGACAGAAUAAGCACCGGCUAACUCUGUGCCAGCAGCCGCGGUAAUACAGAGGGUGCAAGCGUUAAUCGGAAUUACUGGGCGUAAAGCGCGCGUAGGUGGUUCGUUAAGUUGAAUGUGAAAGCCCCGGGCUCAACCUGGGAACUGCAUACAAAACUGGCGAGCUAGAGUAGGGCAGAGGGUGGUGGAAUUUCCUGUGUAGCGGUGAAAUGCGUAGAUAUAGGAAGGAGAACCAGUGGCGAAGGCGACCACCUGGGCUCAUACUGACACUGCAGUGCGAAAACGUGGGGAGCAAACAGG